RNAcentral lists this small nuclear RNA (189 nucleotides) under Lepeophtheirus salmonis (salmon louse). Its description in RNAcentral is "U2 spliceosomal RNA". It matches the Rfam family "U2 spliceosomal RNA". From Rfam's summary of the family: U2 is a small nuclear RNA (snRNA) component of the spliceosome (involved in pre-mRNA splicing). The record is from RNAcentral. Lineage: Eukaryota; Metazoa; Arthropoda; Copepoda; Siphonostomatoida; Caligidae.
UUUGCUUUUUGGUCUUUUGGCUUAGAUCAAAGUGUGUAUCUAUUUUUAUCUGCUUAGUAUCUGAUACGAAGACCUGGUCUCCUCUUCAAUAUUAAUCUUCUUUCUGCUAUUGGGAUUAAUAUCCCGAUGCUUGAGUCGGCUUUGUCGUGGGACAUAUAUUUCUGUACCUCCAGGAGUAGCAUACCCCAC